UCAAGUCUACGGCCAUACCACCCUGAACGCGCCCGAUCUCAUCUGAUCUCAGAAGCUAAGCAGGGUCGGGCCUGGUUAGUACUUGGAUGGG
MicroRNA precursor from Ochotona princeps (American pika), 91 nucleotides. Lineage: Eukaryota; Metazoa; Chordata; Mammalia; Lagomorpha; Ochotonidae. The record is from Ensembl.